This 460-nucleotide ribosomal RNA is filed under the name uncultured bacterium. Its description in RNAcentral is "partial 16S ribosomal RNA". It matches the Rfam family "Bacterial small subunit ribosomal RNA", at positions 338 to 795 of the family's 1533-position model. The record is from RNAcentral.
CCUACGGGUGGCAGCAGUGAGGAAUAUUGGUCAAUGGACGAGAGUCUGAACCAGCCAAGUAGCGUGAAGGAUGACUGCCCUAUGGGUUGUAAACUUCUUUUAUAUGGGAAUAAAAUGUUCCACGUGUGGGAUUUUGUAUGUACCAUAUGAAUAAGGAUCGGCUAACUCCGUGCCAGCAGCCGCGGUAAUACGGAGGAUCCGAGCGUUAUCCGGAUUUAUUGGGUUUAAAGGGUGCGUAGGUGGAUUGUUAAGUCAGUUGUGAAAGUUUGCGGCUCAACCGUAAAAUUGCAGUUGAAACUGGCAGUCUUGAGUACAGUAGAGGUGGGCGGAAUGCGUGGUGUAGCGGUGAAAUGCUUAGAUAUCGCGAAGAACUCCGAUUGCGAAGGCAGUUCACUGGACUGCAACUGACACUGAGGCUCGAAAGUGUGGGUAUCAAACAGGAUUAGAUACCCCUGUAGUC